Molecule: non-coding RNA, 80 nt
Organism: Whalleya microplaca
Lineage: Eukaryota; Fungi; Ascomycota; Sordariomycetes; Xylariales; Xylariaceae
Source: the annotation of a GenBank genome assembly
UCCGAAUUGGUGUAGUGGCUAACAUUUGACGCUCUCAUUGAAGAUCCGUCAAGCCCGGGGUUCGAUUCCCCGAUUCGGAG